This 465-nucleotide ribosomal RNA is filed under the name uncultured bacterium. RNAcentral describes it as "partial 16S ribosomal RNA". It matches the Rfam family "Bacterial small subunit ribosomal RNA", at positions 28 to 507 of the family's 1533-position model. The record is from RNAcentral.
GACGAACGCUGGCGGCGUGCUUAACACAUGCAAGUCGAACGGUAAGGCCCCUUCGGGGGUACACGAGUGGCGAACGGGUGAGUAACACGUGAGCAACCUGCCCUUGACUCUGGAAUAACAGUUGGAAACAGCUGCUAAUACUGGAUAUUCAUCGUCUCCUUCCUGGGGGGUGGUGGAAAGCUCCGGCGGUCAGGGAUGGGCUCGCGGCCUAUCAGCUUGUUGGUGAGGUAAUGGCUCACCAAGGCUUCGACGGGUAGCCGGCCUGAGAGGGCGACCGGCCACACUGGGACUGAGGUACGGCCCAGACUCCUACGGGAGGCAGCAGUGGGGAAUAUUGCACAAUGGGCGCAAGCCUGAUGCAGCAACGCCGCGUGCGGGAUGACGGCCUUCGGGUUGUAAACCGCUUUCAGUAGGGACGAAGGGUGACUGACGGUACCUACAGAAGAAGGACCGGCUAACUACGUG